Molecule: ribosomal RNA, 404 nt
Filed under: uncultured bacterium
Lineage: Bacteria
Description: bacterial SSU rRNA
Rfam family: Bacterial small subunit ribosomal RNA
Source: RNAcentral
UAGGGAAUAUUGCUUAAUGGGCGAAAGCCUGAAGCAGCAACGCCGCGUGCACGAUGAAGGUCUUCGGAUCGUAAAGUGCUUUUUUAGAGGAUGAGGAAGGACAGUACUCUAAGAAUAAGCCUCGGCUAACUACGUGCCAGCAGCCGCGGUAAAACGUAGGAGGCGAGCGUUAUCCGGAUUUACUGGGCGUAAAGCGUGUGCAGGUGGUUUGGUAAGUUGGAUGUGAAAGCUCCUGGCUUAACUGGGAGAGGUCGUUCAAUACUGCCAGACUUGAGAGUGAGAGAGGGAGGUGGAAUUCCGGGUGUAGUGGUGAAAUGCGUAGAUAUCCGGAGGAACACCAGUGGCGAAAGCGGCCUCCUGGCUCAUUCCUAACACUCAUACACGAAAGCUAGGGUAGUAAACGG